AGUGAACGCUGGCGGUAGGCCUAACACAUGCAAGUCGAACGGCAGCACAGUAAGAGCUUGCUCUUACGGGUGGCGAGUGGCGGACGGGUGAGGAAUAUAUCGGAAUCUACUUUUUCGUGGGGGAUAACGUAGGGAAACUUACGCUAAUACCGCAUACGACCUACGGGUGAAAGCAGGGGAUCUUCGGACCUUGCGCGAUUGAAUGAGCCGAUGUCGGAUUAGCUAGUUGGCGGGGUAAAGGCCCACCAAGGCGACGAUCCGUAGCUGAUCUGAGAGGAUGAUCAGCCACACUGGAACUGAGACACGGUCCAGACUCCUACGGAGGGCAGCAGUGGGGAAUAUUGGGCAAGGGGCGCAAGCCUGAUCCAGCCAUGCCGCGUGGGUGAAGAAGGCCUUCGGGUUGUAAAGCCUUUUUGUUGGGAAAGAAAAUCAGCAGGUUAAUACCCCGCUGUUCUGACGGUACCUAAAGAAUAAGCACCGGCUAACUUCGU
RNAcentral lists this ribosomal RNA (491 nucleotides) under uncultured bacterium. Its description in RNAcentral is "partial 16S ribosomal RNA". It matches the Rfam family "Bacterial small subunit ribosomal RNA", at positions 29 to 506 of the family's 1533-position model. The record is from RNAcentral.